CCUACGGGGGGCUGCAGUGGGGAAUAUUGGACAAUGGGGGGAACCCUGAUCCAGCCAUGCCGCGUGUGUGAAGAAGGCCCUCGGGUUGUAAAGCACUUUCAGUGAGGAAGAACGCCUGGUGGUUAAUACCCAUCAGGAAAGACAUCACUCACAGAAGAAGCACCGGCUAACUCCGUGCCAGCAGCCGCGGUAAUACGGAGGGUGCGAGCGUUAAUCGGAAUUACUGGGCGUAAAGCGCGCGUAGGUGGCUUGAUAAGCCGGUUGUGAAAGCCCCGGGCUCAACCUGGGAACGGCAUCCGGAACUGUCAAGCUAGAGUGCAGGAGAGGAAGGUAGAAUUCCCGGUGUAGCGGUGAAAUGCGUAGAGAUCGGGAGGAAUACCAGUGGCGAAGGCGGCCUUCUGGACUGACACUGCCACUGAGGUGCGAAAGCGUGGGUAGCAAACAGGAUUAGAUACCCCGGUAGUC
RNAcentral lists this ribosomal RNA (465 nucleotides) under Vreelandella stevensii. Its description in RNAcentral is "partial 16S ribosomal RNA". It matches the Rfam family "Bacterial small subunit ribosomal RNA", at positions 338 to 795 of the family's 1533-position model. Lineage: Bacteria; Pseudomonadati; Pseudomonadota; Gammaproteobacteria; Oceanospirillales; Halomonadaceae. The record is from RNAcentral.